ACUGAUCAACAAGUUUUGCAAAAUUUUCACUCAUAGCAUCAAACUUAUUGUUCAUAUGAGCCGCAACACUAGUAUCAAUUAAAUUUGCAUUUUCUGAAAUAACACUAGAAGAUGGAUCAGAUUUUACCUUAGCUUGGGGAAUGUCACUUGUGACAUCCUUUAUCUUCUUGACAUUCCCUUGUUGAUCCACGGAGAAGUGUGAUACAUAUUGCUUCGUACCUUCUUCUUCCAGCUCCUAGAUCUCCCGCUCCUUCUUCUCACGGAUCUUCCUCCUGAUUUCAUCAAGUGCCUUUUGCUCCUCGGCUGACCGUUGCUCAAUCUUCAGCCUUAUAAGAACGCCGUUUCAAUUCCUCAAGUGGUGGUAUAGUAUGAGAUACUUUGAUCUUCCCAACUUUUAGCAACUCAUCAAAAAUCCUAUUACACUUGGCUACAUCGAAAGUAUACUUAAUUUCUUCUUGCCAAUUCUUAUGGACCAGCUUGAGAGAAGCACAAGUACUAGGUUUAUCUUUGUGUGACCAUGCAAAUUUAGCAGUUAAAACAUCAUUGCUUUCAUCAUCCGAAUGACCGGAUUCAU
This 574-nucleotide long non-coding RNA is filed under the name Setaria viridis. RNAcentral's name for it is "long non-coding RNA (SVIR_LNC010537)". The record is from RNAcentral. Lineage: Eukaryota; Viridiplantae; Streptophyta; Magnoliopsida; Poales; Poaceae.